Molecule: small nucleolar RNA, 103 nt
Filed under: Microcebus murinus (gray mouse lemur)
Lineage: Eukaryota; Metazoa; Chordata; Mammalia; Primates; Cheirogaleidae
Description: Small nucleolar RNA SNORA70 (ENSMICG00000030854.2)
Rfam family: Small nucleolar RNA SNORA70
About the family: snoRNA U70 seems to be exclusive to mammals and is a member of the H/ACA class of snoRNA which contain H (ANANNA) and ACA box motifs. H/ACA box snoRNAs are involved in the conversion of uridines to pseudouridines (5-ribosyluracil) a constituent of structural RNAs (transfer, ribosomal, small nuclear, and small nucleolar).
Source: RNAcentral
AGGAAGAAACUGGGUCUUUCUUUUUCUGCUCAGAGCAGCCUCCUUGGUAGUGUAUGCAGCCUGUUGCUUGUAUGGGUUGCUCUAAGGAACCUUGGAGACAGUC